AGAGAUUGAUCCUGGCUCAGAUUGAACGCUGGCGGCAUGCUUUACACAUGCAAGUCGAACGGUAACAGGUCUUCGGAUGCUGACGAGUGGCGAACGGGUGAGUAAUACAUCGGAACGUGCCUAGUAGUGGGGGAUAACUACUCGAAAGAGUAGCUAAUACCGCAUGAGAUCUACGGAUGAAAGCAGGGGACCUUCGGGCCUUGUGCUACUAGAGCGGCUGAUGGCAGAUUAGGUAGUUGGUGGGGUAAAGGCUUACCAAGCCUGCGAUCUGUAGCUGGUCUGAGAGGACGACCAGCCACACUGGGACUGAGACACGGCCCAGACUCCUACGGGAGGCAGCAGUGGGGAAUUUUGGACAAUGGGCGAAAGCCUGAUCCAGCAAUGCCGCGUGCAGGAUGAAGGCCCUCGGGUUGUAAACUGCUUUUGUACGGAACGAAAAGCCUGGGGCUAAUAUCCCCGGGUCAUGACGU
Molecule: ribosomal RNA, 470 nt
Filed under: uncultured Comamonas sp.
Lineage: Bacteria; Pseudomonadati; Pseudomonadota; Betaproteobacteria; Burkholderiales; Comamonadaceae
Description: bacterial SSU rRNA
Rfam family: Bacterial small subunit ribosomal RNA
Source: RNAcentral